ACGGAAGGCAGCAGUGGGGAAUAUUGGACAAUGGGGGAAACCCUGAUCCAGCGACGCCGCGUGAGUGAAGAAGUAUUUCGGUAUGUAAAGCUCUAUCCGCAAGGAAGAAAAUGACGGUACUUGACUAAGAAGCCCCGGCUAACUACGUGCCAGCAGCCGCGGUAAUACGUAGGGGGCAAGCGUUAUCCGGAUUUACUGGGUGUAAAGGGAGCGUAGACGGUGUGGCAAGUCUGAAGUGAAAGCCCGCGGCUUAACUGCGGGACUGCUUUGGAAACUGUCAGACUAGAGUGUCGGAGAGGUGAGUGGAAUUCCCAGUGUAGCGGUGAAAUGCGUAGAUAUUGGGAGGAACACCGGAGGCGAAGGCGGCUCACUGGACGAUAACUGACGUUGAGGCUCGAAAGUGUGGGUAGCAAACAGGAUUAGAUACCCUGGUA
RNAcentral lists this ribosomal RNA (434 nucleotides) under uncultured Lachnospiraceae bacterium. Its description in RNAcentral is "bacterial SSU rRNA". It matches the Rfam family "Bacterial small subunit ribosomal RNA", at positions 341 to 792 of the family's 1533-position model. The record is from RNAcentral. Lineage: Bacteria; Bacillati; Bacillota; Clostridia; Lachnospirales; Lachnospiraceae.